CUACAACUCACCAGGCAGUCUGCCUGCCUCCCCUAAUACCCAGUACAAACACACCAUAUAUUCUUGGCUUCAACCUGAAUGAAGCUGCUCUUUAUUCCAUCAUACAGAAACCUGAGGGAAAUAGCAAACAUCUUUGGAUACAGGAACCUAUCUUUUUGCUUCUGUUAUCCUUGGGGAUCAGUUUGGGGCCCCUUGCCAAAAGUGCUUUGGGCUUGUGUUUCGGGACACCAAUGCCAUUAAUUAAUUAUACUAGCCUGUAACUUUGGUACCUAGCAAUUUGCAUGUUCCUACGGAGUAAUUACACUGAGUGGAUCCAAGAGCAAUUAUCCUCUAACCUGCACAGUCAAGAAAUAAUCAUGUAUUUGCUUCAGCAUGGUGCUGGUGAUAACUAAGAGACAAGUCAAACUACAAACUACAAUCAAUCCCAAACUCAGAACUAAUAUAAUGGGUUACUUGAUAACAAUUUGAUACAUGGAGAAGAAAACCAACACCUCCAACUGGAAUAACAUAUUUUGGAGAAGCCAACCCAGAAGCUACCCUGCUACCAUGAAAGUCCAGCAGUUAAGAAUCAGCCUUUUCACUCACCACUUGUCAGACCAAAGGAAGAGAUUUAAGAACAGUCUCACCAGGAACAGGGUCUCAGGUCAAGUCAGCAGAUUCUCCACCAGUCUCCACUCCAAAGAAUGAACAACUAUCCCUCACAGGAAGUUGUAAUUCCUUUUAAAGACACUUUCUUUUGCGUCACUUCCUGUGUCUUC
This 758-nucleotide long non-coding RNA is filed under the name Monodelphis domestica (gray short-tailed opossum). Its description in RNAcentral is "lncRNA (ENSMODG00000030566.2)". The record is from RNAcentral. Lineage: Eukaryota; Metazoa; Chordata; Mammalia; Didelphimorphia; Didelphidae.